Long non-coding RNA from Monodelphis domestica (gray short-tailed opossum), 2538 nucleotides. Lineage: Eukaryota; Metazoa; Chordata; Mammalia; Didelphimorphia; Didelphidae. The record is from Ensembl.
AUGGCCAUGGCGAUGUCGGACAGCGGGGCGAGUCGCCUGCGGCGGCAGCUGGAAUCGAGCGGCUUUGAGGCGAGACUGUACGUGAAGCAGCUAUCGCAGCAGUCGGACGGAGACCGGGAUUUGCAGGAACACCGACAGCGGAUCCAGGCACUGGCCGAGGAGACGGCGCAGAACCUGAAGCGGAACGUGUACCAGAACUACCGGCAGUUCAUCGAGACCGCGCGAGAGAUCUCCUACCUGGAGAGUGAGAUGUACCAGCUCAGCCACCUUCUCACCGAACAGAAGAGCAGCCUUGAGAGCAUCCCGCUCACCCUGCUCCCCGCCGCUGCCGCUGCUGCUGCGGGUGCCGCCGCCGCCGCCGGGGCCGACGAGGGAGGCGGCGGCUGCCCGGGAGGCCGAGACCACCUUCGAGGCCCGGCCGGCUUCUUCCCGGGCCACGGGGGCGCCGCCCGGGACAACCAGAGUGCGGGGGAAGAAGGCAAGCAGCGGACGCUGACUACCUUGCUGGAGAAAGUGGAGGGCUGCAGGCACCUGCUGGAGACUCCUGGGCAGUACCUGGUCUACAACGGAGACCUGGUAGAGUAUGAGGCGGACCACAUGGCUCAGCUGCAACGGGUGCACGGUUUUCUCAUGAACGACUGUCUGCUGGUGGCCACCUGGCUGCCCCAGCGAAGAGGGAUGUACCGCUACAAUGCCCUCUAUCCCCUGGACAGAUUGGCAGUGGUGAAUGUCAAGGAUAACCCGCCCAUGAAGGACAUGUUCAAGCUCCUGAUGUUCCCUGAGAGCCGAAUCUUUCAGGCAGAGAAUGCCAAGAUCAAAAGGGAGUGGCUGGAAGUGCUAGAAGAAACCAAAAGGGCCCUUAGUGAAAAAAGACGCAGGGAGCAGGAGGAGGCAGCAGCUCCACGGGGCCCACCCCAUGUUUCUUCGCAGACCACAAAUCCAUUUGAGGAUGAAGAAGAAGAGGAAGAACCUACUACUCCUGAAGUUGAGGAAAAAGUGGAUUUAUCAAUGGAAUGGAUCCAGGAGUUGCCCGAGGACCUGGAUGUCUGUAUUGCUCAGAGGGACUUUGAAGGGGCAGUGGAUCUGUUGGAUAAGUUAAACCAUUAUCUGGAGGGCAAGCCAUGCCCCACUCCUGUAAAGGAGCUGAGGGCCAAAGUGGAUGAACGAGUCAGGCAACUCACUGAAGUGCUGGUCUUUGAACUUUCCCCUGAUCGGUCUCUAAGGGGUGGUCCUAAGGCCACUCGAAGGGCAGUUUCUCAGUUAAUACGACUUGGUCAGUGCACCAAGGCUUGUGAGCUGUUUUUGAGAAAUAGGGCAGCAGCUGUGCACACUGCAAUUCGGCAGCUUCGAAUUGAAGGUGCCACUUUACUCUAUAUUCAUAAGUUAUGCCAUGUCUUUUUCACCAGCCUUCUUGAGACUGCCAGGGAGUUUGAGACCGAUUUUGCAAGCUCAAACAGUGGUUGUUACUCUGCCUUUAUUGUUUGGGCCCGGUCAGCCAUGGGCAUGUUUGUGGAUGCUUUUAGCAAGCAGGUGUUUGACAGCAAAGAGAGCCUGUCUACAGCAGCCGAGUGUGUAAAAGUGGCUAAGGAACAUUGCCAGCAGUUGGGUGAUAUUGGGUUGGACCUUACUUUCAUCAUCCAUGCUCUCUUGGUAAAGGAUAUCCAAGGAGCUUUGCACAGUUAUAAAGAAAUAAUAAUUGAGGCCACUAAGCACCGUAACUCUGAGGAAAUGUGGAGGAAGAUGAACUUGAUGACUCCAGAGGCACUGGGGAAACUCAAAGAAGAGAUGAAAAGCUGUGGGUGUGAGGAAUAUUUAACACCAUUAAUCUGCUUGAGAGUUCCAUUUUUGGAUUAUACACCGUCUCAGACUGCAGAUGAAGAGUUUAAAUGACUCAUCCAAGAUCAUCCAGCUAGUAAACUUUUAAGGAAGAGCUCUCUGAUCUAUUCAGAGGGAGUCAAUUGAAAAGCAUCAUAUUAGAACAACUUGAGCUUUUUCCAUGGUUUCCUGUCCAGUGAAGCUUCAGCAAACAAAAUCACAAAAGGCCACUUGCACGAAACAGGUCCAGAGAUUUGAUACCUCUCUGAGCACUGACGAGAAAGGGGACAGAUACAGUGGGAGAUCUCAGUAAGUUGGCUUUCUAUUCUUUUUAUUAUCUGAAAUCAAAAUUCCUCUCAUGCAGAUAAAUUGGUUGCCCAAGUAACAAUCUUGUGAAUGGAGGCAAGUAUCUCACAAAUGACCUUGUCACAAAUGUUCCAGUUGUACCAAGGCUUAUGAAUGAAGAUUAACCACCUCAUGAAAAUGAAUAUACACUAACAAAGAAGUUUGAAUCUAGCUAGUACAUGAGUGUCAGCAGAGAGUUUUAGAAAAUGUUUUUCAUUUAUUUACUUGAGUACAUGUUAUUAUCUACCCAGUAGAAUAUAAAUUCCUUGAGGAUGAACUGUUUAAUUUUUCUCCUUGUAUUUCUAGCACCUGACACAAAUGUCUAGGGUAGAGCAUGUGCUUAAUAAAUAUUUGUUGAAUUGAAUUAAGAGUAUUUUC